This 262-nucleotide unclassified non-coding RNA is filed under the name plant metagenome. RNAcentral describes it as "partial contains small subunit ribosomal RNA, internal transcribed spacer 1, and 5.8S ribosomal RNA". The record is from RNAcentral.
UUUCCGUAGGUGAACCUGCGGAAGGAUCAUUAUUGUAUAACCGAGGUGCGAGGGCUGUCGCUGACCCGAAAGGUCGUGCACGCCCGAGUGCCCUCACACACAUCCAUCUCACCCCUAUGUGCACCACCGCGUGGGUUCCCCUUUGGCUUGUUCGGAGGGGGGCUUACGUUUUCACACAAACUUUGUAUGCAGUGUAGAAUGUAUUUUUGUUUUUGCGAUCACGCAAUCAAUACAACUUUCAACAACGGAUCUCUUGGCUCUC